UUAAUGGCUCUUCUCAGAGCCCUCAUAUGUGUAAAAGAAGCCUAUU
Molecule: non-coding RNA, 46 nt
Organism: Bos taurus (domestic cattle)
Lineage: Eukaryota; Metazoa; Chordata; Mammalia; Artiodactyla; Bovidae
Source: Rfam